UACUCCGCAAGGAGGUCCAGUCGAGGUGCUGCAUGGCUGUCGUCAGCUCGUGUCGUGAGAUGUUGGGUUAAGUCCCGCAACGAGCGCAGCCCUUGUCCUGUGUUGCCACUCCGCAAGGAAGCACUCUCAGGAGACCGCCAGCGAUAAGCUGGAGGAAGGUGGGGAUGAUGUCAAGUCAUCAUGGCCUUUAUGUCCAGGGCUACACACGUGCUACAAUGGACGGUACAAAACGCUGCAAACCCGCGAGGGGGAGCUAAUCGCUAAAAACCGUUCUCAGUUCGGAUCGCAGGCUGCAACUCGCCUGCGUGAAGCUGGAAUCGCUAGUAAUGGCGUAUCAGAAUGACGCCGUGAAUACGUUCCCGGGCCUUGUACACACCGCCCGUCACAUCACGAAAGUGGAUUGUACUAGAAGUCCUAAUCAAACAGGCCCAAGGUAUGAUUCAUGAUUGGGGUGAAGUCGUAACAAGGU
This 469-nucleotide ribosomal RNA is filed under the name uncultured soil bacterium. Its description in RNAcentral is "bacterial SSU rRNA". It matches the Rfam family "Bacterial small subunit ribosomal RNA", at positions 1013 to 1497 of the family's 1533-position model. The record is from RNAcentral.